Molecule: ribosomal RNA, 156 nt
Filed under: uncultured bacterium
Lineage: Bacteria
Description: partial 16S ribosomal RNA
Rfam family: Bacterial small subunit ribosomal RNA
Source: RNAcentral
UAAGGAAUAUUGGACAAUGGCCGCAAGGCUGAUCCAGCCAUCCAGCGUGCAGGAAGAAGGCCCUAUGGGCUGUAAACUGCUUUUAUCAGGGAAGAAACCUGUGGAUUUACUCCGCAGCUGACGGUACCUGAAGAAUAAGCACCGGCUAACUCCGUG